Long non-coding RNA from Pundamilia nyererei, 991 nucleotides. RefSeq lists it as uncharacterized. The record is from RefSeq and is a predicted model, not a curated record. NCBI's taxonomy places the organism in Eukaryota, Metazoa, Chordata, Actinopteri, Cichliformes, Cichlidae. The transcript has 4 exons.
AAAGGAUCUGUACCACACAGUAAGCCAUAUUACUUUUCAGACAACUGCAUUAAAAAUGCACCAAAACUCAACAACUGUUUAGUGACUUCUCCUGGCAGAGCUGACAGCUGUUCAGUGUUCUUAGCAGCUUCCCGUGUCAUAACGCCUCUCAAUCAAAGCUUUCACAACCUUUCACAGCCUCACCAGUUUCAAAAUAGACGUACGAUAAAGUAAUUCACCCCUUGUAGAGUUGUUUAACAGGCUGCAAACAUGCAGUUUAAUCCUGGAAAUGCGGGCAUUUUAACAUCAGAGUCCAUUGGUGUUGGCUUACUUUUGCAGCCCGCCUCAAGUGGCCAUUUAAGGAACUGCAGUUUUUUUUUGCAUUUUGAGCUGGAUUCAUGGAGCUUUUGUCCCUCGGUUAACCAAGUCCUGUUAUUAUUUAUGGAACUGUCAAUAUAAAACGUUUAAAGAGCAUACACUUUAGUUUUUGUAUAUGUUUACACAAAGCGAUAAAGUGAUGAGUGUUUGGUUGUUUGUUUAUUUUAUAGCAAUCCAAUCAGUGAGUCGCUGUACGUAAAUGAAAAAACCCUUAACAACGGACUGGAUGACAUUCCAGGAGUGUAUGGAAACGUUUUCCCAUCGAUAGAAUUAACAAACGACGACGACGACUAUGAAAAUUCAGACUUCCUGAAAGAUGCAGGAGAAUAAUGCGCCCAGCCACAAACCAGAAAUGGUUCAGGAAUGAUUUGAGGAGCACAACGAGUGUUGACUUGGUCUCCAAAUUCUCCAGAUCUCAAUCCAAACGAGCAUCUGUGGGAUGUGCUGGACAAACAAGAUCGAUUGGUGGAGGUCCCACCUCACCACUUCCACGACUUAAAGGAUCGUUAGCUAACAUCUUGGUGGCAGAUACCACACCACAAUCCAUACCUGUAGGCAGGUCGUCAUAAUGUUAUAUCUAAUCGGUGUAUAUGGAUUGCAUGUUUUGUUUAAUUAUUAAAGAAGAUGAAAAGCC